AGCAUCGUACCCUUUGCAGGUAUGGGUAUCUGACUAAUAACAAAGGUCAAAUUCAUCAUGGUCGACGAUUGAUCUACGAUGUCAAAGAUGCAGAAUGUAAGAACUUUUUUUAGGAGAUUUCAUGCCGCAUAUGUAGAUGCUGUCUCCAACCCUUCCAUGUUCCAGGGAAGAAGAUCACCUCCAAAGCCUUUGCGCAAAGAGUCAGCAGCAUCGUCAAGUCAUUUGGGUCGGGUGCAACUACAUAAGAACUAUUUCAUUUGUGAGCUUAGGCUUAAAAAAUCAGUUGCAUCAGUCAAAUUUUCUUAUUCGUGCCUUCCUGCCUCACCUACUUCCGUAGAUUCCACCAUAUAAGCUUUUGGCAAAGUUGUUAGAAAAAUAUAUCAGAAUGAGAUAUUUGUCACAUCAUGUAAUUGUAAAAUGGCUGAUGUUAUGUAUGAGUUAAUUCUUGUAUUGGAUUUAUGAAGCAACAGCCUCUUUGACCUGUUUUCCGCUA
This is a non-coding RNA of Phoenix dactylifera (date palm), 493 nucleotides long. The record is from RefSeq and is a predicted model, not a curated record. Lineage: Eukaryota; Viridiplantae; Streptophyta; Magnoliopsida; Arecales; Arecaceae.